Molecule: ribosomal RNA, 255 nt
Filed under: uncultured bacterium
Lineage: Bacteria
Description: partial 16S ribosomal RNA
Rfam family: Bacterial small subunit ribosomal RNA
Source: RNAcentral
UACGUAGGGUGCAAGCGUUGUUCGGAUUCACUGGGCGUAAAGGGUGCGUAGGUGGUUAGGUAAGUCCGAUGUGAAAUCUCCAGGCUCAACCUGGAAAUGGCAUUGGAUACUAUUUAGCUUGAGGAGUGGAGGGGGGGACUGGAAUUCUCGGUGUAGCAGUGAAAUGCGUAGAUAUCGAGAGGAACACCAGUGGCGAAGGCGAGUCCCUGGACACUUCCUGACACUGAGGCACGAAAGCGUAGGGGAGCAAACAGG